RNAcentral lists this ribosomal RNA (486 nucleotides) under uncultured organism. Its description in RNAcentral is "bacterial SSU rRNA". It matches the Rfam family "Bacterial small subunit ribosomal RNA", at positions 28 to 507 of the family's 1533-position model. The record is from RNAcentral.
GAUAAACGCUGGCGGCGUGCCUAAUACAUGCAAGUCGAUCGAUGGAAACCUAGCUUGCUAGGUGGAAGUAGAGGCGAACGGGUGAGUAACACAUAAGCAACCUGCCUACAAAGACUGGGAUAAUCUCUGGAAACGGGGACUAAGACCGGAUAGGUAAUAGGACCACAUGAUCUUAUUAUUAAAGGUGAGAAACACUAGUAGAUGGGCUUAUGGCGCAUUAGUUAGUUGGUAAGGUAACGGCCUACCAAGACGAUGAUGCGUAGCCGGGCUGAGAGGCUGAACGGCCACAUUGGGACUGAGACACGGCCCAGACUCCUACGGGAGGCAGCAGUAGGGAAUUUUCGGCAAUGGGGGAAACCCUGACCGAGCAACGCCGCGUGAGUGAUGAAAGUCUUCGGAUUGUAAAGCUCUGUUAUAAGGGAAGAACGUCCCGGAUAGUCUCCGGGAGUGACGGUACCUUAUCAGAAAGCUACGGCUAACUACGUG